UACGUAGGGGGUAAGCGUUGUCCGGAAUCAUUGGGCGUAAAGAGUGUGUAGGCGGCCCGGUAAGUCCGCUGUGAAAGUCCAGGGCUCAACCCUGGGAUGCCGGUGGAUACUGUCGGGCUCGAGUCCGGAAGAGGAGUGUGGAAUUCCUGGUGUAGCGGUGGAAUGCGUAGAGAUCGGGAAGAACACCAAUGGCGAAGGCAGUCGGCUGGGCCGUUGCUGACACUGAGGCGCGACAGCGUGGGGAGCAAACAGG
Molecule: ribosomal RNA, 253 nt
Filed under: uncultured bacterium
Lineage: Bacteria
Description: partial 16S ribosomal RNA
Rfam family: Bacterial small subunit ribosomal RNA
Source: RNAcentral